ACCAACUUAAUAAGAGAUCAGAUUUAGAUGAAUAUUAGAUUUUGGCUGAAAUGUUAUUUCUAUGCUAUAGUUGUUUGAGAAGUAAUUCUUUCCUGGUUUUCUUUGCAUUAUAAAAUCACGAAGUUAAUUCAAGAAUGCCCUAUUUGAAAGAGCCUUGUUUCAGGAGUUGCAUCUUCUGGUUGGGUCUGAAGAUAUUGGUUCAGCUACAGAUCAGCUACCUGCCUUGCCUAAUGAUACAGUAAAAGGUAGCUUCUGUUCUUAGUGGGAACAGUCUGAUGCAUAGGCGUCGUAAAUAUUUAUGUGCAAAACUACAUAAAUUAUAUUGAAUCUCUUUCACCUAAAUGAACAAGCAGACAUUUUAUAUCUGGCUAAACAAACGGCAUAUUUAUGAGUUCAGAUUUUGGAAAAUAUGUUAAUUGUGUGCUUCUUUGGUAUGCAAAAUAAUCUUCUUCUUAGUUACAAAUGGAUAAUUAGACAAGAAUGCUAAGUAGAUCAUAAAUGAUUAAUAUUUUUCCUUAGUUACUCAUGUGUUCUUUGUCAUAUUCACUAUACUGUAAAAUAAAUACGCAUAUUUAAAAUUUCGUUGAAGAGCCAUUUUGGUGCCAAACUCUUACGCGAGUUUGGAAUUGUUUUUAUUAUGUCAAAGUAGAAGUGUACUGAUUCUUUAUUUUGUUGGAAUCAUUGAAGAGGCAUUGUUUUUAUUUCGUUGUGAGGACAUCUCCAUUGCCAUCUGUGGUAACAAGGUUGAUGUAAAGAACAUGCAGCUUAAAGCCAAGCAGGUCACAUUCCACAGUAAGAAGAGCUCGCAGUACUAUGUAGCCUCUGCCAAGAGCAACCACAACUCUGAGAAGCCUUCCUUUUUACCUUGCAAGGAAGUUAGCUAGGAGUCGUCUCCCUCCCUAUUAGAUUCUUUUGCAUAUUAAAUCUUACUUUUAUUUGAUGAUUCUUAGUAAGCCAUGGCUCUCAAGCCCUGGGCCGGAAGUGAUCUUCAACCUAUAUUGUUGUUUGUACAAUGUUUGCAGACACGAGGAUGUGCCUGCUGCCGUUGCCACUGCAUGUUGAUGACAAUAUAAUGAGUCUUAUACCAUACUUAUAUUGUUGUUUGUACAAUGUUUGCAGACACGGGGAUGUGCCUGCUGCCGUUGCCACUGCCUGUUGAAGAUGACAAUAUAAUGAGUCUUACCAUACUUUGACUUUGAG
Lolium rigidum is the source of this 1200-nucleotide long non-coding RNA. RefSeq lists it as uncharacterized. Lineage: Eukaryota; Viridiplantae; Streptophyta; Magnoliopsida; Poales; Poaceae. The transcript is spliced from 3 exons. The record is from RefSeq and is a predicted model, not a curated record.